UUUGGAGAGUGCUUCUCUCUCUUACUUCUCUCUCCUCAUUUUCUCUCUCUAGCUUUCUCUCUCUAAAACUUCAGCGGAUCAUAACUUUUAAUUCGUAACUCCGAUUCAGGAUCCGCGAAAGGCUACGGAUUCGUCUUGAUGUCCUCUUUCUAUUCAUAGAGGUUUGAGUUAGAUCCAAUGGUGAUUUCUAGAAGGCAAGUUUUAGGAGGCUCGGUUAAUGAUCGGUAUUCUAGGAGGCGAUUCGGAUUAUCGAGAGAAGUACUUAGGUUUUGACGAGCCGAAGUGGGUUGGACGAGCCUAGAAUGAAGAACUUAGAAGGAUAUUUUAUUUACAUUCUGCUUUGUAACACUCACACCUCAGAUUCGGGGUCAGGUGCUUAAAAUCCACCGACAUCGGGUCCGGGGUGUGACAGCUGUGUUGGCAGCAGGGAUGUAGUUGUGCCUAGAGCUACUUGGGCUGUAGCUUGAGGGAGAUUUUGGGCUAAAAGUUGCCAAGUAUAGAUGUAGCCCAAAUAAAAAAAAGAAAAAUUAUACAUAUGUGUCUCAUACUCUCAGUCAUCGUCUAUCUGAGAAGUGAGAAUCAAUUACGCUGCCGCCGAGCCACCUCCCUCUGAGACUCAGUCCCGCCGGUCUGACUUCCUCAGUCCCUCCGGUCUGACUUCCUCAGUCCCUCACCGAGGCUCCUUCUGACUUUCUGAGGCUCAGAGGCUCAGUCCCGCCACCUCCACCGCUCCACGAAUUGAACUCUUACUACUGAAAACUUUACUAUGGAUUGGACGGUGGUUCAUUUGAUCUGGAAAAUUCGCUCUCUUGCCACUUGCCAUUCCCAUGUUAGCUGGAGUUGGUCCAGCAGACAAACCAAUCUUGCAGCUGAUUAUAUUGCUGCUCUGGCUUCCAGGAGGACGUGUACAUCGGAUUGGAAACCCACUUUCCAAUCCUCCUUCCUCCUUUUUUAAUUUAUUGUUGUCUGAUGCUUCUCAGGCUUCUCACAUCUCUUCCCAGAACUUUGUUCCUUUUGGUUUUGAUGUGGGAUAGCUUUUUUCUUUGUAAUCCUUUCUUUGUUCUUUUAAUACAAUUGUUUUCAGUAAAAAAAAAAAAACAAAAACAAAAAGAGCCUAGCAUCUCUGAACCCCUAAUGGAUGAGAAUAUUCUGCAUUCAACUAGCGAAAGGUGCAAUAUAAAGGAAAAUGCUGGAUACUUUUGAGGUUCCUUUUCUAAUUCAAAGUAUAU
This is a long non-coding RNA of Rosa chinensis, 1229 nucleotides long. RefSeq lists it as uncharacterized. The transcript has 3 exons. NCBI's taxonomy places the organism in Eukaryota, Viridiplantae, Streptophyta, Magnoliopsida, Rosales, Rosaceae. The record is from RefSeq and is a predicted model, not a curated record.